CGGUUAGAACCCACGACGGGCAUGCAGAUGUGCGGAAUGACGGCGUACCGCGGGACCGCUCCUAUCCAGCGCCCGCUUGGCAAAGAGUAACUCAUUUUGAUGCCUCUCGCUACCCCUGGCCCUAGCUUUGAAGGAAUCAUGCGACACACUCGCACUCCACUACCCCAUCGCAUGGAAAAACGCUCCCACCAUCGAGGUGUUGACCAAAAUUUCGCUGUGUGCAUGAGACACACACUCGCACUCCUCCAGUCCUUCAUAGCCGAUCGCUCCCACCGUUGCGAAGAUGGGAGAAUUUUUACUCUGAGCGUGAGAUCCUGAAGCGCAAGAGAUGACACUAUGUGUGAAAGACAGUCAUAAUUCGAUAUGGUCAAAAUGCGUCGAUUAUCGUUUUAUUUAUCUGGUAAUGAUGUUUUUACUUCAUCAAAAAUUUAAACGUUAACAACUAGGUUGAUAACAAUAUAUGAAAUGUGAAUCAGAAAAAAUAAAUUUAUUGGAAGCAAAAUAAAUUCCAUUAUAGGCCGCGGGGCCAUGGGGAUUCUCAACGCUCAUUUUCUCAAGCACUCAUGAGUGCUUUUGAGAAAUCCUCGUUCUCAGCGUUUGUCGAAUCGGAACAAAAUCGGUUUUGAGAAUCUUUGAGAAUCUUUGAGAAAGUUGACGAUGCAGCGAUCGGCUAACUAAAAUAUGGAAAAUUGUGCUAUUUGUUUAUCGGAAAUCACUUUGGAAAAUGUAUUCAAUGUUUAUAAUUGAAAACGUUAAAAAAAUAUGCGAUUAAAAACUGUUUUUCUAUUUAAAGCUCUAAAUAAAGCUUGAGUGUCUAUAUCAGUCUCUCAGGGUGAGAAAAAACUGACGACGGCCACGGGCUUGAGUCUGAGAACAAGUUUUGAGUGCUUGAGAAACUUAAAUGAGUGCUUGAGAACGUUUUCUCAGCUUGAGAAAGCCCCGUGGCCCCGCGGCCAUACUUUAUUAUGACCUUAUGAUCAACACUGCAACAUAGUGCCAUUUACUUUGUGUUCUUCGCUCUCGCGCUGUGUUGUGAACGUAAGAAACUCAUUGCCAGAACAAAUGCAAAUUUCAUUUGGGAAGGAUUGGUGCCGGUAGAUGCAGCGAAAAUUAUGAAAUGUUAAUAGAAAAGUGGUUAAGUAAAUCGUGAAAGAUGUCAACGCAGGCGUAAAUGCAGUAUGUUUUGUUACAUGAUCUACGGCUAUUUCAUUACCAAAACUCCUGAUAACAGAUCAGAGCAGGUGAAUCGGGCUUACAGAGUCGCCGUUUAACUUAAAAUAUCUUCGUGAUCGGUAAGUUUUAAAUAGUCCUAGUUUUGUUCACCAUUCUAAUGCUCGAUUUAUCUUUCAUUCCUUAGGAAAACGCAUCAAACAGCAAGUGUUUUUCUUCCAACAGCACGCGCCAUCGGUGGAGCAAGCAGCUAACGUUUUGUUCGCCCAGCGCGCACCAUCAAGAAUUGAAAUAUUCCCGAAUAGCUUUGUGAAUAAAAAACUGCACAUUUACUGUCGGAA
Molecule: long non-coding RNA, 1511 nt
Organism: Anopheles gambiae (African malaria mosquito)
Lineage: Eukaryota; Metazoa; Arthropoda; Insecta; Diptera; Culicidae
Exons: 2
Source: RefSeq, a predicted model, not a curated record